RNAcentral lists this ribosomal RNA (1055 nucleotides) under Arthroderma ciferrii. RNAcentral describes it as "eukaryotic LSU rRNA". It matches the Rfam family "Eukaryotic large subunit ribosomal RNA", at positions 35 to 1108 of the family's 3401-position model. The record is from RNAcentral. Lineage: Eukaryota; Fungi; Ascomycota; Eurotiomycetes; Onygenales; Arthrodermataceae.
UAAGCAUAUCAAUAAGCGGAGGAAAAGAAACCAACAGGGAUUGCCCCAGUAACGGCGAGUGAAGCGGCAAAAGCUCAAAUUUGAAAUCUGGCUCCUUAGGGGGUCCGAGUUGUAAUUUGUAGAGGAUGCUUCGGGUGCGGCCACGGCCUAAGUUCCUUGGAACAGGACGUCAUAGAGGGUGAGAAUCCCGUCUUGGGUCGUUGGUCCACGCCCGUGUGAAGCUCCUUCGACGAGUCGAGUUGUUUGGGAAUGCAGCUCUAAGCGGGUGGUAAAUUUCAUCUAAAGCUAAAUAUUGGCCGGAGACCGAUAGCGCACAAGUAGAGUGAUCGAAAGGUUAAAAGCACCUUGAAAAGGGAGUUAAACAGCACGUGAAAUUGUUGAAAGGGAAGCGCUUGCGGCCAGACUCGAGCGCGGGGCUCAUCAGGUGCGUGUCACCUGUGCACUCCCCGCCGCUCGGGCCAGCAUCAGUUCUGACGGCCGGUCAAAGGCCCCCGGAAUGUGUCGUCUCUCGGGACGUCUUAUAGCCGGGGGUGCAAUGCGGCCCGCCGGGACUGAGGAACGCGCUUCGGCUCGGAUGCUGGCAUAAUGGCCGUAAGCGGCCCGUCUUGAAACACGGACCAAGGAGUCUAACAUCCACGCGAGUGUUCGGGUGUCAAACCCGUGCGCGCAGUGAAAGCGAACGGAGGUGGGAGCCUUAGGGCGCACCAUCGACCGAUCCUGAAGUCUUCGGAUGGAUUUGAGUAGGAGCGUGGCCGUUGGGACCCGAAAGAUGGUGAACUAUGCCUGAAUAGGGUGAAGCCAGAGGAAACUCUGGUGGAGGCUCGCAGCGGUUCUGACGUGCAAAUCGAUCGUCAAAUUUGGGCAUAGGGGCGAAAGACUAAUCGAACCAUCUAGUAGCUGGUUCCUGCCGAAGUUUCCCUCAGGAUAGCAGUAACGAAAUUCCAGUUUUAUGAGGUAAAGCGAAUGAUUAGAGGCCUUGGGGUUGAAACAACCUUAACCUAUUCUCAAACUUUAAAUAUGUAAGAAGCCCUUGUUUCUUAAGUGAACGUGGGCAC